GGAGAGAGAGAGAGACGCAACGAAGGCGAGAACACCUUGUGCUUCUCCUCGAUGAACUUCUGAAUCGCGUAUUGGUUAGCUCCAGUUCUCUCCUUCAACAAUACAAUCGCAUCCUUGAUCAUCUUCUUUGGCUUCACUUUUUAGCUUUCUUCGUCGUCUUGCCUCCCUUCGCAGCAGGCUCCGUCGUAACUGUCGUGUUGAUUCCGUCCACGGGAGGAGGGAUAUUCUCUUGAUCGACCGCUGGACUCGUCAUCUGAAACCGUAAACGUAAGCUUUUAAGAGAAUAUGAGAAGUUAUUAUGAGAAUGGGUGAUGUGAUCGUAUCAUCGGAAACGUCCGAUUUAUAUAUUGACUCAAUGAUUCAAAGGACAAUUUGUCUUUUCCGCUUGUUUCUUGUGAUUGGAAUGCGGAUGAAGAGAUACUCCUUCUUGAGGCAAUUGUGACAUAUGGGUUUGGGAAUUGGAAAGAAGUUGUGAACUAUGUUGGCAGUAAGACGCAGGCUGAGUGUAUUGAUUACUUCAACUCUGCUUGCAUGCAGUCACCUUGCUUUCCCCUUCCGGACUUGUCUCGUACAAAUGGAAAGAGCAAAGAUGAGCGUCUUGCUAAGAGUAAAGAGCACGUUGUGAAAAUAGAAACAACUGCACUUUUGAUGAACCUAUCUCCAAAAGAAGAGCUGCCAAUGUCAGCUGAAAUCAAGUAUGUAACAACCAGUGUCCCGUGUGCUAUAUUCCCCUGCCUCGACUUGAUGCUCUCGCUGCAAAUCGGUUCUUUAUUGCAGAUAGUUAUUUGUCGAAAUGCGUGACUAUGGAGCUUUUGACCCAGUGAUGGUAGGAACAUUGAAAUUUACGAUAAGUGUGACGAUACACAUACGUACGUAUGUAGAGAGAGAGAGAGACUGACCUCCGUUGAGCCAGAGGACUUAGAGGACGGCGAGAGGGGUUUUGUUGAGCUUCGAAGAACCAAUAGAAAAGUGACUUCUGCUUCUGCUGAGGCCCGAGAUUAACGUAACCGGCGUAAUGUCUGAAGUUAGCCGGUGGUUGACCCGGUAAACUGGUAACCAGGUCAUCCUCCUUCUUACCACAGGCUAACGCCGGCAACACCAGAAAGCACAGCAGCCAGAGUGCGUUCUUCUCCAUUGUCACACGCUAGCUCUUGCCUCUCUGUUUACAGAUCUUCUAUAUACAGUAAAGAAUAAAUCGAGGCCCGACGCCUUUUUAUAAUGUGGUUAUCAUAUAACCUUAGUCUCACACGAUCAUCUUUUCUUCUUUUGACACAUCACGAGCGUCGCGGUUGCAGUAACUAGCAAAUGUAAUUGAUUGAGUGGUGCUGUUGUUAUUUGAACUUUCUGAAUAGAUCUUUCAACGAUCGGCGUUUCCAGACAUUAAUUUAUUACUUCUCAUUUAAAAUUCUUUUAUAGGUUUCGAAACA
Long non-coding RNA from Raphanus sativus (radish), 1427 nucleotides. RefSeq lists it as uncharacterized. The record is from RefSeq and is a predicted model, not a curated record. The transcript is spliced from 6 exons. NCBI's taxonomy places the organism in Eukaryota, Viridiplantae, Streptophyta, Magnoliopsida, Brassicales, Brassicaceae.